Molecule: small RNA, 125 nt
Filed under: Marmota monax (woodchuck)
Lineage: Eukaryota; Metazoa; Chordata; Mammalia; Rodentia; Sciuridae
Source: RNAcentral
GCCGGGUGCGGUGGUGCACACCUGUAAUCCCAGCAGCUCAGGAGGCUGAGACAGGAGGAUCACGAGUUCAAAGCCAGCCUCAGCAAUGGCAAGGCGCUAAGCAACUCAGUGAGAUCCUGUCUCUA